RNAcentral lists this ribosomal RNA (492 nucleotides) under uncultured bacterium. Its description in RNAcentral is "partial 16S ribosomal RNA". It matches the Rfam family "Bacterial small subunit ribosomal RNA", at positions 29 to 507 of the family's 1533-position model. The record is from RNAcentral.
AGUGAACGCUGGCGGUAGGCCUAACACGUGCAAGUCGAACGGCAGCACAGUAAGAGCUUGCUCUUACGGGUGGCGAGUGGCGGACGGGUGAGGAAUACAUCGGAAUCUACUUUUUCGUGGGGGAUAACGUAGGGAAACUUACGCUAAUACCGCAUACGACCUACGGGUGAAAGCAGGGGAUCUUCGGACCUUGCGCGAUUGAAUGAGCCGAUGUCGGAUUAGCUAGUUGGCGGGGUAAAGGCCCACCAAGGCGACGAUCCGUAGCUGGUCUGAGAGGAUGAUCAGCCACACUGGAACUGAGACACGGUCCAGACUCCUACGGGAGGCGGCAGUGGGGAAUAUUGGACAAUGGGCGCAAGCCUGAUCCAGCCAUACCGCGUGGGUGAAGAAGGCCUUCGGGUUGUAAAGCCCUUUUGUUGGGAAAGAAAAGCAGCAGGUUAAUACCCCGCUGUUCUGACGGUACCCAAAGAAUAAGCACCGGCUAACUUCGUG